UACGUAGGGGGCAAGCGUUGUCCGGAUUUAUUGGGCGUAAAGAGCGUGUAGGCGGCCAGGCAGGUCCGCUGUGAAAACUCGAGGCUCAACCUCGAGAGGUCGGUGGAAACCGUUUGGCUAGAGUCCGGAAGAGGAGAGCGGAAUUCCCGGUGUAGCGGUGAAAUGCGCAGAUAUCGGGAAGAACACCCGUGGCGAAGGCGGCUCUCUGGGACGGUACUGACGCUGAGACGCGAAAGCGUGGGGAGCGAACAGG
This 253-nucleotide ribosomal RNA is filed under the name uncultured bacterium. RNAcentral's name for it is "partial 16S ribosomal RNA". It matches the Rfam family "Bacterial small subunit ribosomal RNA", at positions 524 to 776 of the family's 1533-position model. The record is from RNAcentral.